This is a non-coding RNA of Gossypium arboreum, 145 nucleotides long. Lineage: Eukaryota; Viridiplantae; Streptophyta; Magnoliopsida; Malvales; Malvaceae. The record is from Rfam.
UGUUAAAAAUUUCAUCUAUUUCUACUACUAAAAAGUGGCAUAGUUGAUGGAACAACCAGACAGUUACGCGUGGCCUGCCAUGUGUACCUUAUGUUGGCGUAUAUGGAACGAUUUUUAACAGUAGAAAUGGAUGAAUUUUGUAGCA